CCCUAUAGCCCGUAAUAUCCUCGGGAAACUGAGGUUAAGGACGGAUAGAUGAUUUUUUCUGGAACGAUUAAUCGUCGAAAGUUGGCGAUAGGACGAGACUGCGGCUGAUUAGGUAGUUGGCGGGGUAAAAGCCCACCAAGCCUGUGAUCAGUAAGGGCUCUUAGCGGAGAAGCCCUGAGAGGGAAUCUGAGACACAAUUCCCAGCCCUACGGGGUGCAGCAGUCGGGAAACUUCUGCAAUGCGCGAAAGCGUGACAGAGCUAGUCAGAGUGAUUUUCUAUAUUUGAAAAUCUUUUGUGGGAUGCAAAAAGUCUCACGAAUAAGGACCGGGCAAGACUGGUGCCAGCCGCCGCGGUAAUCCCAGCGGUCCAAGUCGCAACCACGUUUAUUGGGUCUAAGACAUCCGUAGCUUGCUUCUCAAGUCUCUUGUGAAAUCUGGCCUCUUAAGGGUCGGGCGUGCAAGAGGUACUGAAAAGCUAGAGACCGGGAGACGUAACGAGUAUUAUUGGGGUAGCGGUAAAAUGCGUUGAUCCUAAUGAGACUAACAACAGCGAAGGCACGUUACGAGAACGGAUCUGACAGUGAGGGAUGAAGGCUAGGGGCGCAAAGUGGAUUAGAUACCCAUGUAGUCCUAGCAGUAAACACUGCACACUGAACAUUGGGGCCUCCUCGAGAGGUUUCAGUGCUGUAGCGAAGGCGAAGAGUGUGCUACCUGGGAAGUAUAGUCGCAAGACCGAAACUUAAAGGAAUUGGCGGGGGAGCAC
Molecule: ribosomal RNA, 763 nt
Filed under: uncultured archaeon
Lineage: Archaea
Description: bacterial SSU rRNA
Rfam family: Archaeal small subunit ribosomal RNA
Source: RNAcentral